RNAcentral lists this non-coding RNA (114 nucleotides) under Bacillus sp. (in: firmicutes). RNAcentral describes it as "Bacillus sp. TPP sequence". It matches the Rfam family "TPP riboswitch aptamer (THI element)". Rfam says of the family: Vitamin B(1) in its active form thiamin pyrophosphate (TPP) is an essential coenzyme that is synthesised by coupling of pyrimidine and thiazole moieties in bacteria. The record is from RNAcentral. Lineage: Bacteria; Bacillati; Bacillota; Bacilli; Caryophanales; Bacillaceae. RNAcentral also lists the same sequence under 1 other name.
GAAAGCAACUGGGGGAGUCCAUCACGCAGGGCUGAGAGGACGGAAGCGAUUGACCGUCGACCCUUUGCACCUGAUCCAGAUCAUGCUGGCGCAGGGAAGUGGUUGCAAGCAAAA